UAAUAAUUUUUUUUAAGAAAAUUACUAUUUAUAUUUUUAUUUUGUACAACAUACUUUUUUUUAAAUCGGACCAUUUCCCUUUAUUUCUCUAACAUUAAAAAUAAGGGUAUUUAAUAAAUGUAUUACAAUAUACUAUUUUACAUAUUUUAGGUAGUAACACAGAACGAAGAUGACAAUGAAAAUCUCAAAAGUUCUGUAGUUAAUUUAAAGAAAGAAAUUUAUGAUGAAUAUGACACACUAUUCAGUUUAAGUGAUGUACUGAUAAAAGUAUUAUUCUACAAGGCACAACUGAACAAUAAAGAAUUUGGUAAACGUUACAAUUUUGAACCCUGUUAUAAUGUAAUAUAUAAAAUUUCAAAAUUGCAUCCUCCAAAUGAUAUAUAUAUAUCUUAUUACGGAUAUUUUUAACUAUUAUUUAAAAUAUUCUACAAUUAUAAAAAAUUGUAAUCCCUACAUCCAAUAAUUUAUUGUAUUUCAUUAUUAUUAUUGCAUUAAGUUUAUUUAAAUUUCAUUUUCAAUUUAUUGUAGAUUCUGUGCCGCACUCGGUUUAUUUGUACUUGUAAUUGCUUAAAUUAAUCCGCCAAUCUUAUUAUUUCGACAGAAAUAUAAACGGUAUGUCUGUUAAAUGUCAUAAAUUCUUUUUGGCAUCUAUUUUAUUUGCAUAUCCUCAUAAUAUUUUUAAGUUACGUUAAAUAAAAAAUAAUUUGGUUUCGUCAA
Molecule: long non-coding RNA, 717 nt
Organism: Daktulosphaira vitifoliae (grape phylloxera)
Lineage: Eukaryota; Metazoa; Arthropoda; Insecta; Hemiptera; Phylloxeridae
Exons: 2
Source: RefSeq, a predicted model, not a curated record